UUGAUUUUAAAUUCCAUGGCAUCAACACAACUCAAAAAAGUUGGGACAAGGCCAUGUUUACCACUGUGUGGCAUCCCCUCUUCUUUUUAUAACAGUCUGCAAACGUCUGGGGACUGAGGAGACAAGUUGCUCAAGUUUAGGAAUAGGAAUGUUGUCCCAUUCUUGUCUAAUACAGGCUUCUAGUUGCUCAACUGUCUUAGGUCAUCUUCGUCGUAUCUUCCUCUUUAUGAUGUGCCAAAUGUUUUCUAUGGGUGAAAGAUCUGGACUGCAGGCUGGCCAUUUCAGUACCCUGAUCCUUCUAUGCAGCCAAGAUGUUGUAAUUGAUGCAGUAUGUGGUCUGGCAUUUUCAUUUUAAAUGAGCCUUGGCCCAGAGAAAACGCCUGCGCUUCUGGAUCAUGUUUAGAUAUGGCUUCUGUUUUGACCUACAGAAUUUUAGCUGGCAACGGUGAAUGGCACGAUGGAUUCAUUCCUGUAUGUGAUGCAAUGCUGUCUAAGGGCCCGAAGAUCACAGGCAUCCAGUAUGGUUUUCC
This is a long non-coding RNA of Carassius carassius (crucian carp), 530 nucleotides long. RefSeq lists it as uncharacterized. The transcript is spliced from 3 exons. The record is from RefSeq and is a predicted model, not a curated record. NCBI's taxonomy places the organism in Eukaryota, Metazoa, Chordata, Actinopteri, Cypriniformes, Cyprinidae.